CCUCUUGUGGUGUAGGGGUAGCGCGCCCUGUCUAGUGAACAGGUAGUCGUGAGUUCGAUUCUCACCGGAAAGU
RNAcentral lists this transfer RNA (73 nucleotides) under Aedes aegypti (yellow fever mosquito). It matches the Rfam family "tRNA". From Rfam's summary of the family: Transfer RNA (tRNA) molecules are approximately 80 nucleotides in length. The record is from Rfam by way of RNAcentral. Lineage: Eukaryota; Metazoa; Arthropoda; Insecta; Diptera; Culicidae.